Molecule: long non-coding RNA, 200 nt
Filed under: Carica papaya (papaya)
Lineage: Eukaryota; Viridiplantae; Streptophyta; Magnoliopsida; Brassicales; Caricaceae
Description: long non-coding RNA (CPAP_LNC006115)
Source: RNAcentral
GAACAAGAGACCUAGGUCAAUGACUCAGGCUCCUCCUCAGAUUCCAACAACAGGACGCGGUAGGACUUGCCAACACUGUGGUAAGGAUCAUGGGUACUGACCCUACUAUUGCCUCAACAAUACUUGUCGUAUAUGUGGGAGUGUCCAGCAUUACACAAGAGAGUGCCUGAAAAAUCAGAACUAGGCCAGACCUUCUAUCU